GUGGUUGGCUCCGCAGGAGCCCCAGCAGCCAUCUCGGACCGCGAGGUGACCUUGGAAGGCGGAGGACGGACGAGGGGGAGCCUGCGGCCUGGCGGAGCUAGACGGAGAGGGCCCCACCUGCGCCCCGAACGCGUGGGCGGUGCCGAAACCGUGUGAACAGUCUCAUGCCCAGACUCGGCCGCAGCGUCCGCUUCCGGAGAGACCAUCCUGCAACAGAAGACGGGAUUCGAGGCUGCGUGACUCACCGGCGGUGAAGCAGGGGCUGAACUGGUGAAAUGGAAUACCCGCGUGGGUGAAGUAUCAGACAUUUCAUGCAUGGCGAACGGAGUAGCUAUAAGGAAGGAAAAGGGGAUUGCUUAGUGCCACCGAGUCUCUUAAGAGUGGUGGACAGCCAUGUACUCACCUGGCAGGGGAGAUACCAUGAUCAUGAAGGUGCUUUUCCCAGUGCGAGGCUUAUCCAUUGCACUCCGGAUGUGCUGACCUCUGCCGAUUUCCCCAAAGGUGGGAAACUCGACUGCAUAAUUUGUGGUAGUGGGGGACUACGUUCACGCUCUCCCCUGGUCUCUUUAAAAAAAAAAAAAAUGGUGGACAGCCGAAGGCAAGCAGCAAACAGUUGAAAGCCAGUGAGUCUGUCCCGUCGCAUGCAGAGAAGCUCAUUUACUGCAGCAGGACGAAGGCAAGAACCAGGCCCAGGAAUUAACAUCCCUGUUUGAACUCCAAAAAUAGCAACAUGCCCACACGAGGCAAUACUCUUCCACUAAGUUUGGAGCCCUGCUAGUGAAAAAUGAGGUGGGGCCCAUGGCUCACACGUGUAAUCCCAGCACUUUGGGAGGCAGAGGUGGGAGGAUUGCUUGAGUCCAGGGAGUUCAAGACGGGCUUGGGCAACAUGCAAAACCCCGUCUCUACUGAAAACACAAAAAAUUAGCCAGGCAUAGUGGAGGCCAUGGCUGUGGUCCCAGCUCCUCAGGAGGCUAAGGUGGGUGGAUCACCUGAGCUCUGGAAGUCGGGGCUGUAGUGAGCUAUGAUGUCACCAUUGCACUCCAGCCUGGGCAACAGGCGUGAGACCCUAUCUUUAAAAAAGAAACAGCAACAAACCCAUCAUAUGUGGGUUGGAGAUACCUGGGUAGAGGCCUUCAACGGUUUUGACUCCCCAAACUGCCUUAAACCUUUUUUAUUUUUUGGAGACAGUGUCUUAUUCUGUUGUCCAGGCUGGAAUAAAGUUGCUGAAUCAUGGCUCAUUGCAGCCUCAACUUCUGGGCUCAAACCAUCCUCCCACCUUAGCCUCCUAAGUAACUGGGACUACAUGCAUGUGUCAGCAUGCCUGGCUAAAUUUUUUAUUAUUUGUAGAGGCAGGGUCUUGCUAUGUUGCCCAGGCUUGUCUCAAACUCCUAGGCUCAAGUGAGCCAUCCCACCUGGCCUGCCUUGAACCUGAAGCCUACCAGGGUGGCUCACCUCUCCUAUUAACCUAGCACUCCUCCUCCUCCCUCCCACCACAUACUGCAUACUAGAUGGAUAAUUAUGGUGGUUUCUUUUGCAUUAUUCAGCUGGAAGCAAUGAGAUAGAAAAGAGACUUGCUCCCUCCCCCUCAAAAGAACUGUGUUACUAGUUUGCUAGGGCCUCAGUAACAAAUUGGGCAGACAUAUAUUGUCUCGGAGUUCUGGAUGGUAGAAGUCUGAGAUGAAGGUGUUCACAGGGUCGCUUUCUUCUGGGGCUGGGAGGGAGAAUCUGUCUCAGGCCUCUCUCCUAGCUUCUGGUGGUUUGCUGGCAGUCUUUGGUGUUCCUUGUCUUACAAGGCAUUGCCCCAGUCCUGCCUUGAUACUCACAUGUUGAUCUUGUGUGUGUGCCUGUCCAAAUGAAGGCAUAAAUUACAUUGACAAAGGUCAUUAGACAUGGGCCUCUUUUUUUUUUUGAGACAGAGUUUUGCUCGUUGCCCAGGCUGGAGUGCAAUGGCACCAUCUUGGCUCACCACAACCUCCACCUCCCAGGUUGAAGUGAUUCUCCUGCCUCAGCCUCCAGAGAAGCUGGGAUUACAGGCAUGCACCACCAUGCCCAGCUAGUUUUUUGUAUUUUUAGUAGAGAUGGGGUAUUUUCUUUGUUGGUCGGGCUGAUCUCAAACUCCUCAACCUCAGGUGAUCCACCUGCCUUGCUAGUGCUAGGAUUACAGGCGUGAGCCACCGUGCCUGGCCAUGGGCCUCUUUUUAUAAGGACAACAGCCUUACUGGAUUAAGGCCCACCCUAAUGAGCACAUCUUAACUUGUCUAUGAAGACACAUUUCCAAGUAAUGUCACAUUCACAGGUACGGGGGGUUAGGGCUUCAGCAUCUUUUGAAGGGGACACACUUCAGCCCAUAACAAGCUGUAACACACAGCCAGCAUGCCCUGAUGGGAGCUGGGAAAGUUUGGGGCUGGAUUAUGAGGGUGCUCAGUGAAGGGAGCUGGUAUGUAAACUUGCAUAGAUGUAUUUAUUGAAAUACGAGAUUUUACACCUUGGCCAAGACUGGGUGCAGACUUGCUUCAAGGUUGGCUCCUAGAAUGGCGGUCUAUCUAUUGCUACAUACGUACAUCACUCCACACUUAGUGGCUUAAAACAAGAAUCAUUUAUUAUCUCUAGGUUACUGUGGGUCAGACACAGUGUGGAUUGGUUGUCUCUGUUCCACAGUGUUGAGGCCUCAGCUAGAGCAGCUCAGAGGCUGGAGGCUGGAAUGAUGUGAUUUCAUCUGCUCGAAUGUCCGACAGCUGAUGCUGGAGAUUGGCUGCAGCCUAGAUUGGGCACACUCCUGCAUGCCACUCCCUGUGGCUGUGGCUUCCUCAUAAUACGGUGGCUGAUUCCAAGAGCAAUCUAAGGACAAAGGAAAGCUGUAUGUUUUGUGAACCAGCCUCAGAAGUUACAUAUCAUCACUUCUGCUACUUCCUAUUUGUUAGAAAUGAAAUCACUAAAUUGCCAUAUUCAAAGGUAGAGGAAUUAGGCUUCACCUUCUAAAGGGAAGAAUACAAAAAAAUUUGCUGAUGUGUUUUUAAAACACCAUACUUGGAAAAGGCCAUGGGCCAUGGGAGGAGGAUCACUUGAACCAGGGAGAUCCAGGUUGUGGUAAGCCGUGAUCAAGCCACUGCCCUCUCGCCUGGGAGACAGAGACCCUGUCUCAAUAAAAAAAACUCUGGAUAUGUGAGAACUUUGGGGUCCUUGCAAUAGGAGCCAGCAGGCCAACAGUGGAGUCACUGUCUUAGUAGUGGAGGAGGAAGUAGGGCUGCGGUUAGGUUCAUUUUACAGUGAAGAACAGGUAUGAAACCCAGGUGGUCAACAUGGGUGCAUCUUGGUACUCCUCUAGCCAACUGAUUAAGAAACUAGAGUCCGACUUGUACAUGUAAAGAGAGGGUCUGCCUCUUAGUUCCCAAACCCUGCAGUCUGGCUGUGAGGGAGUGAGCAUAAAAAUAUGUGCUACUGGUUUAAGGCAUGCACAUAAAACAUCACCCCAAACUUGUAAGAUGUGAUUUCCAAGCUGAUGGAGACAACAGCCUUCAUCUGGCCACUCCACCCUUCUGUCAGGGCAGUUGCUUCUGGCUGAUGAGGCCAGUGAAUCCUAAGUGUGUGUGAGGUCAUUUCCUGCACUUGUGUUAUUUUAAGAUAUACCUGCUGCUUUUUUUUUUUUUUUUUAAUGAGAUGGAAUCUCGCACGGUCACCCAGGCUGUAGCUCAGUGGUGCAAUCUUGGUGCAUUGCAAUCUCCGCCUCCUGGGUUCAAGUGAUUCUCCUGCCUCAGCCUCCCAAGUAGCUGGGACUACAGGCGUGUGACACCAAACCCAGCUAUUUUUUUAUUUUGGGAUUUUUAGUAGGGAUGUGGUUUCACCAUGUUGGCCAGGAUGGUCUUGAUCUCCUGACUUCGUGAUAUGCCCGCCUUGAUGUCCCAAAGUGCUGGGAUUAUAGGCGUUAGCCACUGUGCCUGGCUUUUUUUUUUUUUUUUUUUUUUUUUUUUUUUUUUUUAAUUUGAGAUGGAGUCUCACUCUGUUGCCCAGGCUGGAGUGCAGUGGUGCGAUCUCGGCUCACUGCAACGUCCACUUCCCAGGUUCAAGUGAUUCUCCUGCCUCAGCUUCCCAAGUAGCUGGGACUACAGGCAUGUGCCUCCAUGCCUGGCUAAUUUUUUGUAUUUUUAGUAGAGAUGGGGUCUCACCAUGUUAGCCAAGAUGGUCUUUAUCUCCUGACCUCAUGAUCCGCCUGCCUUGACCUCCCAAAGUGCUGGGAUUACAGGUGUGAGCCACUGUGCCCAGCCAAGAUAAUACCUGCUUUUAAGAGCCAAUGUUGUGCAGAACUACAGCAAUGGAUAAAGCAUGUGAGUCCAGUAAUAGUGACACUGGCAGAUAGCACUAAGGAGAGGGAAGCCCAUUUGUGACUGGGGUUUACGUCUUCCUGGAGGACAAAUCACUGCCUUCUUUUCCACAAUGGAUGGAACCAGGUUGCCAUGUGAAAGUCUCAGCACUGGCCUCUGCUGUUGGCAGUUCAGGCACUCAGAAGUGGCAGAAGCUGGGGAGUCUUGGUGAAGAGAAAUGUGUAUUUUUUUGUUGUCGUUUUUGAGACGGAGUUUCGCUCUUGUUACCCAGGCUGGAGUGCAAUGGCGCGAUCUCUGCCUCCUGGGUUUAGGCAAUUCUCCUGCCUCAGCCUCCUGAGUAGCUGGGAUUACAGGUGUGCACCACCAUGCCCAGCUAAUUUUUCGAUUUUUAGUAGAGACGGGGUUUCACCAUGUUGACCAGGAUGGUCUUGAUCUCUUGACCUCAUGAUCCACCCGCCUCAGCCUCCCAAAGUGCUGGGAUUACAGGCGUGAGCUACCACGCCUGGCCAGAAAUAUAUAUUGUUAAACCAGUGUUAAGCCUCCUUCCCUGCCACUGUUGCCACUUGUUAUACGAGCUCACUCAGCAUCAUGUUGGCUAAAGAAAGAGGCUGACAGACAUCCACAGGACAGGUCAUUUUGUCCACCAAAUUUCCUUUCUACAGUGGAUGGCCUCUGGUGGGCAUUUAUGUGGAACUGAUAUCUCCACUUUGCCCAUUCCCUGCAUACCUGUGCUCAAAACUCUUGUUUUAUCUUGACACAGGUUCUCAGCUCUGUCACCCAGACUGGAGUGGCAUGAUCAUGGCUUACUGCAGCCUUAACCUUCUGGGCUCACGCAAUCCUGCCUCAGCCUCUGAGUAGCUGAGACCACAGGGCCAUGCCACCAUGCCUAGCUAGUUUUUGUUCUUUACAGAGACAGGGUCUCACUAUGCCCAGGCUGGUCUUGAACUCCUGGACUUAAGUGAUCCUCCCGCCUCAGCCUCCCAAAGACAUGAACCACUGAGCCUGGCACUGGAGAUUUCCUUGAAACCAUCCUUUGCAAUCUUUUUCUGUUAUCAACCAGCUGCAGUCAGUGACCCGCUGCACAGGAAUGCUAGUAGAUAAGCCUCUUUCCAUAUAAGAUGGACAACCAGCUAUACCCUCCCAAGUUUUGCCAACUGGAAAUCUUCCAAAUUCCAAUCCUAAACUAGGAUGUAGGGUAGCAACUUUUUUUUUUUGACAGCGUCUCGCCCUGUUGCCAGGCUAGAGUAUAGUGGCACGAUCUUGGCUCACUGAAACCUCUGCUUCCUGGAUUCAAGCAAUUCCCCUGCCUCACCCUCCUGAGUAGCUGGGACUACAGGCAUGCACCACCAUGCCUAAUUUUUUGUCUUUUAGUAGAGACAGGGUUUCACCAUGUUGACCAGGAUGGUCUCGAUCUCCUGACCUCGUAAGCUACCCACUUUGGCCUCCCAAAGUGCUGGGAUUACAGGCGUGAGCCACUAGUGUAGCAACUGUUUAUGGUUCAUGCCAUCAUACCGUAUGGAUCCAUUGGUAAAACAAGCCUGCAUUUUUUCCUCUUCUGUCAGCUGUUCAUAGGAAGCAUCCUGUGAAAUCAAAGAUGUGGACUAAAGGAGAAUGUAAAGUAGCAAAGGUGGCAUCAGCCGGGCACGGUGGCUCACGCCUGUAAUCUCAGCACUUUGGGAGGCUGAGGUAGGCGGAUUACGAGGUCAGGGGUUUGAGACCAGCCUGACCAACAUGGUGAAACCUGGUCUCUACUUAAAAAUACAAAAAGUAGCCAGGGGUGGUGGUGCACACUUGUAAUCCCAGCUAGGAGGCUGAGGCAGGAGAAUUGCUUGAACCCGGGAGGCAGAGGUUGUGUGAGCUGAGAGCGUGCCAUUGCACUCCAGCCUGGGUGACAGAGCAAGACUCUGUCUCAAAAAAAAAAAAAAGGAAAGGUGGCAUCAUGAGUUUGAUCACUCACUUGGGUCACUUAUGCCUUCUGAAUCUGUUCAGGCAUAGUUUUGUGUCUACUAUUUCCAGUUUCAGUGGAAAGCUGCUGUUUAUGUCUAGUUUUAUGAUUUGUUUUAUAGGCUGUCUCCUCCUAUAGUAUGCCUUGUACUUUUGUGGGCUGUAUCGGGCUCAGAGCUUUGGUAUGGGCCUACAAGCAAUGAAGGUGGUAUUGUUGGGUUUUGGAAUCAGCAUCUCUCUGUGAGGCACUGUAUUUGUUCUCACACUGCUAUAAAGAAAUGCCUGAGGCCAGACAUGGUGGCUCAUGCCUGUAAUCCCAGCACUUAGGGAGGCCAAAACAGUGGGGGGGGGGCACCUGAGGUCAGGAGUUCAAGACCAGUCUGACCAAUAUGGUGAAACCCCACCUCUACUAAAAACGCAGAAAUCAGCCAGGCAUGGUGGCAUGCACCUGUAGUCCCAGCUGCUCAGGAAGCCGAUAGGAGAACUGCUUGAACCCAGGAGGCGCAGGUUGCAGUGAGCCAAGAUUGUGCCACGGCACUCCAGCCUGGGUGAUAGAGCAAGACUCCGUCUCAAAAACAAAAAAGAAAGAAAUGCCUGAGACUGGAUAAUUGAUAAAGAAAAGAGGUUUAUUUGGCUCACGGUUCUGCAGGCUGUACAGUAAGCAUGGUAGCUUCUCUUUUGGGGAGGCCUCAGGAAACUUGCUAUCACGGCAGAACACAAAGGGGGAGCAAGGCACUUCACAUGCCUGGAGUAGGAGGAAGAGAGAGGAUGGAGGUGCCACACACUUGAACAGCCAGAUGUCACGAGAACCCAUUCACUAUCACAGCACCCAGGUGCUAAAGCAUUCAUGAGAAGCUGCCUCCAUGAUCCAGUCACCUCCCACCGGGUCCCACCUCCAACACUGGGGAUUACAAUUCAACAUGAGAUUUAGGCAGAGACACAGAUCCAGACCAUAUCUGGUACCCAUCCCAGGUGCAAUCAUUAAAAGUUUCCUAUUCAGGCUCCCUUAUCCCUUUUUUCUCAAUACCAAUUAGCAAAGGUGAUCCAUUCCAUUUCAGCAGGUGCAGACGGCAAGACAUCUUCACUAUCUGAGGGUCUCUGCUCAGACGCAGUAUCAUUCGGAUUUGAGAGAGAGCUACAUUAAAGAGGUCAUAGUAAUCGGUUCUAGUGAACAGGAAGUAGUAAGUACCCUAGAUACCUUAGUAACAAAAGUGCUACAUGGUAGGAGAUAAAUCCCAUGAAAAACGGCACUUUGUAUGGGGUUGUCUGUGGAGUAUCCUGGUAUCUCCUCUGAAGUGAAAGGCUGUACCUUCCACUGCCUACCACUAAGAAAGGCACCAAGCUGGGCUUGUUUGGAUUUUGGAUUCGACACAUGCCAGUUUUGGGUGCGCUGCUCCAAUCCAUUAUUGAAACCUAGAGCCAGUUAGUUUUGUUUUUGUUUGUUUUUUUCAGUCUCGCUCUGUCGCCCAGGCUGGAGUGCAGUGGCACAAUCUCGGCUCACUGCAACCUAUGCCUCCUGGGUUCAAGCGAUUCUCCUGCCUCAGCCUCCCAAGCAGUUGGGAUUACAGGCACCGGCCACCAAACCUGGCUAAUUUUUUAUUUUUAGCAGAGACCGAGUUUCUCCAUGUUGGACCAGGCUGGUCUCAAACUCCUGACCUCAGGUGAUCCACAGCCUUGGCCUCCCAAAGCGCUGGGAUUACAGGCCUGAGCCACCAAGCCCAGCCUGAGGCUGUUUGUUUUAAGGGCAUCUGGACAAUAGAAGACCUGCGGCUUUGAUGCGAGCUGUCCUCCUGCUCAGGAUUUAUGACCUCCAAGUUUCAGUGAUGCUUAAAGGGUCUUUGCAAUUAAGGGUGCCUGGGUGGUACUCCAGGAUGAAGUUCCAUUAGGACAGCCCCCCAGAGGAUUUUGUUUUUGUUGAGACAGGGUCAGACUCUGUUGAGAGUGCAGUGGCACAAUCACGGCUCACAAUAGCAUCAACCUCUUGGGCUCAAGCAAUCCUCCCACCUCAGCCCCCUGAGUAGAGACUACAGAGGUGCAGCACCAUGCCCAGCCGGCUAAUUUCUUUUAUUUUUGUAGAGACAAGGUCUUACUAUGUUGUCCAGGCUGAUCUUGAACUCCUGGGCUCAAGACCCCCAAGGUUUUGAAGUAAAGCUUUGCUUUUGGCUAGCAACUCUUUCACCUUUUGAAAAGCAGUAUCUGAGGCUGGGCAUGGUGGCUCAUACCUGUAAUCGCAGCACUUUGGGAGGCCAAGGUGUGGUGGCAGGUGCCUGUAAUCCCAGCUACUCAAGAGGCUGAGGCAGGAGAAUUGUUUGAACCCACACAGCAGAGGUUGCCAUGAGCUGAGAUUGCACCACUCCACCCUGGGCUACAGAAAAGACUCCAUCUCAAGAAAAAAAAAAGAAGCAACAUCUGACUUGUUCCUGGGUCCUGGCAGAGAACAGACACCUGCGUGUGGGAUAUGCUGUUUGAAUGUGCACCCCAAAUUUCACGUUUUGGAAACUCCAUCUCCCCAGGUGGUAGUACAGAAGUAUUGAAAGGUGGGGCCAGCUGGGUGUGGUGGCUCACACCUGUAACCCCUGCAUUUUGAGACUCCAUUAAAAAAAAAAAGAAAGAAAAAGGUGGGGCCUUUAGGAGGUGAUUGGAUUGGCUGGAUGCAGUGGCUUACCACUCUAAUCCCAGCACUUUGGGAGGCUGAGGCAGGCAGAUCAAAAGGUCAAGAGAUCGAGACCAUUGUGACUAACACGGUGAAACCCUGUCUCUACUAAAGAUAUGAAAAAUUAGCCAGGUGUGAUGGUGUGCGUCUAUAAUCUCAGCUACUUGGGAGGCUGAGGAAGGAGAAUCACUUGAACCUGGGAGGCGGAGGUUGCACUGAAUGGAGAUGGCCUGGGCGACAGAGUGAGACUCCUCAAAAAGAAAAAGAAGUGACUGGAUCAUGAGUGGAUUAAUGAGUUAUUGUGGUAGUGGAGCCGGUGACUUUAUAGGAAGAGACCUAGGCUAACAUGUUCAGUGCCCUUGCCAUGUAUGCCACCUGGGACUCUGCAGUUUCCACCUGUACAAAGGCUUUCAUCAGUGUGUCCCUUGACCUUGGACUUUUGUUUUGAGACAAAAGAGUCUUGCUCUGUCACCCAGCCUGGAGUGCAGUGGUGUAAUCUCAGCUCACUGCAACCUCUGCCUCCCAGGUUUAAGGAAUUCUCCUGCCUUAGCCUCCCAAGUAGUUGGGACCACAGGCUUGCGUCACCAUGCCCAGCUAAUUUUUGUAUUUUUAGUAGAGACAGGAUUUCACCAUGUUGCCCAGGCUGGUCUCGAAUUCCUGAGCUCAAGUGAUCCACCCACCUUGGCCUCCCCAAGUGUUGGGAUUAUGGGUAUAAGCCACUGCGCCUGGCCAACCUUGGACUUCUAAGCCUCCCUAACUGUAAGAAAUAAGUUCGUUUUCUUUAUAAAUUACCUAGUUUCAGGUAUUCUGUUGUAAGGAACAGAAAAUGGACUAAAAUGGGAUAUACCUAUUAAUACGCAGUUCACACUGCCCAUCCUGCUGUGUGAUCACCAAGCCACCUGCUGUAGUAACCUAUCAGCCCUGGAGGUGCUGUGUCUGUGUGGUAUAAUAAACGUGGUUUUUGCCUCUGGCUCCCGGCAGAGCCCCUAAAAUC
Molecule: long non-coding RNA, 9910 nt
Organism: Callithrix jacchus (white-tufted-ear marmoset)
Lineage: Eukaryota; Metazoa; Chordata; Mammalia; Primates; Cebidae
Source: RefSeq, a predicted model, not a curated record